CUGAGGUUACUGAGAUGAUGAAGCUUGUGGAGGUAGCUAAUAGCAGCUGGCAUAGCCUGCAAUGAAUUCCACUAUUUGAUUUCACAAGGAUAUGUUUAAAUCACCCACAAAAACAGAGGUGUUUUGUUGAAAGGAAAUCCAGGCAAAUAUUCCAGGCAAGAAUUUCAGCAUGUAAAAGAGAAAAUUAGUGUUGAUAACUGGGGAAUAAGAA
Chiroxiphia lanceolata (lance-tailed manakin) is the source of this 211-nucleotide long non-coding RNA. RefSeq lists it as uncharacterized. NCBI's taxonomy places the organism in Eukaryota, Metazoa, Chordata, Aves, Passeriformes, Pipridae. The transcript is spliced from 4 exons. The record is from RefSeq and is a predicted model, not a curated record.